UGCAUACAAGAACGACAUGAUUGGGAUUGAGUUUGAUCCUUUAGUACCAGGUAAUCCAAAACUGAAAGGCGAAUUUGUUCUUAGUACCAUGCUUGGUAUUGAUCUUCAUCAUUCAAAAUGGUGGGACCUGGUGGCUGUUGUAGUCAUUCUAAUAGCUUUCAGACUUCUCUUCUAUGCUAUUCUCAAGUUCAAGGAGAGAACUAUGCCCGUGUUUCAUAAGCUNNNNNNNGAACUAUAAAACAUCUCAAAAAGAGGCCAUCCUUCAGGAACAGUUCACCCUUCCCUUCUUUCAGGAAAAGUUCACCUUUCCCUUCUACGAGGCACCAGACUCUACAUUCUUUGUCUUCUCAAGAGGGUCUCAACUCUCCGAUCCACUAGCAGCACCACCAAAUUAAACAUAUAGCAGUUAUAGUCAAACUUCUUCUGUGAUCUUGGAAAAAUACU
This 444-nucleotide unclassified non-coding RNA is filed under the name Hevea brasiliensis (rubber tree). The record is from RNAcentral. Lineage: Eukaryota; Viridiplantae; Streptophyta; Magnoliopsida; Malpighiales; Euphorbiaceae.